CCUACGGGUGGCAGCAGUGAGGAAUAUUGGUCAAUGGACGGAAGUCUGAACCAGCCAUGCCGCGUGCAGGAAGACGGCUCUAUGAGUUGUAAACUGCUUUUGUACAAGGGUAAACCUGAAUACGUGUAUUCAGCUGAAGGUACUGUACGAAUAAGGAUCGGCUAACUCCGUGCCAGCAGCCGCGGUAAUACGGAGGAUCCAAGCGUUAUCCGGAUUUAUUGGGUUUAAAGGGUGCGGAGGCGGAUUUGUAAGUUAGAGGUGAAAUGUCCGGGCUUAACUCGGGAACUGCGGCUAAUACUGGUGAUCUAGGGAGGAGGUGCGGUAGGCGGAAUGUGUGGUGUAGCGGUGAAAUGCUUAGAGAGCAGACAGAACACCGAUUGCGAAGGCAGCUUACCAA
This 397-nucleotide ribosomal RNA is filed under the name uncultured bacterium. RNAcentral describes it as "partial 16S ribosomal RNA". It matches the Rfam family "Bacterial small subunit ribosomal RNA", at positions 338 to 732 of the family's 1533-position model. The record is from RNAcentral.